UGGGGAAUAUUGCGCAAUGGGGGGAACCCUGACGCAGCCAUGCCGCGUGAAUGAAGAAGGCCUUCGGGUUGUAAAGUUCUUUCGGUAUUGAGGAAGGAGUGUAUGUUAAUAGCAUACAUUAUUGACGUUAAAUACAGAAGAAGCACCGGCUAACUCCGUGCCAGCAGCCGCGGUAAUACGGAGGGUGCGAGCGUUAAUCGGAAUAACUGGGCGUAAAGGGCACGCAGGCGGUUAUUUAAGUGAGGUGUGAAAGCCCCGGGCUUAACCUGGGAAUUGCAUUUCAGACUGGGUAACUAGAGUACUUUAGGGAGGGGUAGAAUUCCACGUGUAGCGGUGAAAUGCGUAGAGAUGUGGAGGAAUACCGAAGGCGAAGGCAGCCCCUUGGGAAUGUACUGACGCUCAUGUGCGAAAGCGUGGGGAGCAAACAGGAUUAGAUACCCUGGUA
RNAcentral lists this ribosomal RNA (445 nucleotides) under uncultured bacterium. Its description in RNAcentral is "bacterial SSU rRNA". It matches the Rfam family "Bacterial small subunit ribosomal RNA", at positions 355 to 792 of the family's 1533-position model. The record is from RNAcentral.